AUCAGAGUGUCAACAUUUACGUUUACUGUCAUCUACUUGAAAAUCUCAUCGAAAAUGGAUCUUCAGAAAAUGUUCGAUCAAGCUAGGAAGGAGGUUAAAAUGCAGAAGGCAAUUACUGCAAGCAGCCUGACCGAAGGAAGAUAUUAUCAUAUCCAUGCAAUAAGGAUGGUGAACACAAAGUUUGGGAAAACCUACAUUGCAGAGUUGGAGAAAAAUAUCAGUAUUUGGCUCCCGAAAUCAUGGACAAAGCGGAUGAACGGAGAUGAACUGAUAAAAAUUUCAGCAGACGAUAUGUGGGAGCUGGCCUACCAUGGCAAAGAUGCAGGAGGAAAUUUCGUUAAUUUGGAUGUAAGAAAGAAGAGUAAUUGAUUUAAUCUUUUUGUGGUUUGACAAAUAAAAGAUUUUGUAAAAUGUA
Long non-coding RNA from Phlebotomus papatasi, 415 nucleotides. RefSeq lists it as uncharacterized. The transcript has 2 exons. The record is from RefSeq and is a predicted model, not a curated record. NCBI's taxonomy places the organism in Eukaryota, Metazoa, Arthropoda, Insecta, Diptera, Psychodidae.